UGAUUUCUAUGGGUGGUUUUCCAUCAGCAUUACCCAACACAGCUUUCAAGCUAGUACCGCUAGCGACACACCCUCCCUGUGCUGGAAGCUCCCCACCGCGGGGGGCACCAGCAGCCCAGCGUACCCCUCAAGGCCGCUGCGGUUCACAGACUACGCGUGGUGUGGGCCGGGGCUCAAGGCGACGGCUUCGAGAUAUAGUCGAGAUAUAGUCGAGCCCCGGGUCGAGUGAGUCGUUUCGGUGGUGGUGCAUGGCCG
This 255-nucleotide non-coding RNA is filed under the name Polyozosia dispersa. The record is from RNAcentral. Lineage: Eukaryota; Fungi; Ascomycota; Lecanoromycetes; Lecanorales; Lecanoraceae.